RNAcentral lists this ribosomal RNA (492 nucleotides) under uncultured bacterium. RNAcentral describes it as "partial 16S ribosomal RNA". It matches the Rfam family "Bacterial small subunit ribosomal RNA", at positions 29 to 507 of the family's 1533-position model. The record is from RNAcentral.
AGUGAACGCUGGCGGUAGGCCUAACACAUGCAAGUCGAACGGCAGCACAGUAAGAGCUUGCUCUUACGGGUGGCGAGUGGCGGACGGGUGAGGAAUACAUCGGAAUCUACUUUUUCGUGGGGGAUAACGUAGGGACACUUACGCUAAUACCGCAUACGACCUACGGGUGAAAGCAGGGGAUUUUCGGACCUUGCGCGAUUGAAUGAGCCGAUGUCGGAUUAGCUAGUUGGCGGGGUAAAGGCCCACCAAGGCGACGAUCCGUAGCUGGUCUGAGAGGAUGAUCAGCCACACUGGAACUGAGACACGGUCCAGACUCCUACGGGAGGCAGCAGUGGGGAAUAUUGGACAAUGGGCGCAAGCCUGAUCCAGCCAUACCGCGUGGGUGAAGAAGGCCUUCGGGUUGUAAAGCCCUUUUGUUGGGAAAGAAAAGCAGCAGGUUAAUACCCCGCUGUUCUGACGGUACCCAAAGAAUAAGCACCGGCUAACUUCGUG